AGUGAACGCUGGCGGUAGGCCUAACACAUGCAAGUCGAACGGCAGCACAGUAAGAGCUUGCUCUUACGGGUGGCGAGUGGCGGACGGGUGAGGAAUACAUCGGAAUCUACUUUUUCGUGGGGGAUAACGUAGGGAAACUUACGCUAAUACCGCAUACGACCUACGGGUGAAAGCAGGGGAUCUUCGGACCUUGCGCGAUUGAAUGAGCCGAUGUCGGAUUAGCUAGUUGGCGGGGUAAAGGCCCACCAAGGCGACGAUCCGUAGCUGGUCUGAGAGGAUGAUCGGCCACACUGGAACUGAGACACGGUCCAGACUCCUACGGGAGGCAGCAGUGGGGAAUAUUGGACAAUGGGCGCAAGCCUGAUCCAGCCAUACCGUGUGGGUGAAGAAGGCCUUCGGGUUGUAAAGCCCUUUUGUUGGGAAAGAAAAGCAGCAGGUUAAUACCCCGCUGUUCUGACGGUACCCAAAGAAUAAGCACCGGCUAACUUCGUG
RNAcentral lists this ribosomal RNA (492 nucleotides) under uncultured bacterium. Its description in RNAcentral is "partial 16S ribosomal RNA". It matches the Rfam family "Bacterial small subunit ribosomal RNA", at positions 29 to 507 of the family's 1533-position model. The record is from RNAcentral.